Molecule: ribosomal RNA, 411 nt
Filed under: Triatoma infestans
Lineage: Eukaryota; Metazoa; Arthropoda; Insecta; Hemiptera; Reduviidae
Description: partial large subunit ribosomal RNA
Rfam family: Bacterial large subunit ribosomal RNA
Source: RNAcentral
AGGAAUUGAAUGGCCGCAGUAUUUUAACUGUGCUAAGGUAGCAUAAUCAUUUGUCUUUUAAUUGAGGGCUGGAAUGAAGGGUUGGACGAGGUAUUAACUUUCUUUGAUUUAAUGAGGAGAAUUUAAUUUUUGAGUUAAAAAGCUUAAAUUUAUUUGUGGGACGAGAAGACCCUAUAGAUCUUUAUAGUUUUAUAUUUUAAUAAUUUGGUGAUUUAUUUGUUUUAAGUAGAUGAACUAUUUUGUUGGGGUGACUGUAGAAUUUAAAUAACUUCUAUUAUUUUAUUUCAUUAAUUAAUGUUUUUGUGAUCCAUAUUUUAUGAUUAUAAGAUUAAGUUACCUUAGGGAUAACAGCGUAAUUUCCUCGGAGAGUUCAUAUUGAUGAGGGAGUUUGCGACCUCGAUGUUGGAUUAA